Molecule: non-coding RNA, 1263 nt
Organism: Macaca mulatta (Rhesus monkey)
Lineage: Eukaryota; Metazoa; Chordata; Mammalia; Primates; Cercopithecidae
Source: RefSeq, a predicted model, not a curated record
AGUUACAACGGUGGGACGUGUGGUUUGGAAGGGAGAAAUGGGUGCAGAGCAGGUAACCAAGGGAACAGAUGUGAGUGAUUGAUUAGAACUGAAGGGGGGAAGGUUGUUUACAGUAACUAAGGGCAAGGAGGCAUGGAGAACAAGAAAGUUGAGUUCGAGAACAAAACACAAGAACGUUAACAUGCCAAACCUUGGAAGAGAAACUGACUGUAUCUGACGGUUUUACACAUUUUAGGGAGACAGGAGACAUCAAUCAACAUAUGUAAGAUGAACACUGGUUUGAUCCGGUACAACCUGAAGCAAAAGUGGGUCAACUCGAAGCCAGGAGGGGGCUUCCAGGUCACAGAAACGGGGGUCUCCCUCGGUUGCCCAGGCUGUCUCUGGUGCCCAACGCAGGGCUCCCCGUAAUCUCUACAAAUAAUCCAGUGAAGGAACACCAGAGCGUGGAAAGCUGAGGACGACCGACAAAGGACUCCCGAACAAGUAUUCUCCUUGGUUCCCGGAAUAUGGAAUCAUGAAUGUAGAAGAUUGGGACAAGGUGGGAUCAGACUUAAAACGAGCACAAGAGGGCCGCGAUAUUCCCGUCUCUGCUUGGUCUGUGUGGUCUGCAAUUAAAACAGCCCUGGAGCCCUUCCACACUGAGGAGGAGGAGGAGGAUUUUCAGGAUGACAUAGGAAAGUUGAAUAAUCAGGAGUCUAAUUAUCAGCUAAGUGAACCAUGACAGUCUCGUUUAAAAAAGGGCGAGAAACGGGAAGGUAUGUAUGCUAAUCUCCAAAAACUUAUAAAAGAAACUGUGCCACCUACUGCGCCUUUAGGGAAAGGUCUGGAAUGGCCACCCCCAGGCCAGCCUCGUGAAUAUUUGGAAGGGGAGCCUGAGACCCACGCCUUGCCGCUCCUAUUGUUGCAGGCCCCGCCAGUAACUAUGGCGAAGGGAAGCUUCAGGCUUGUCCAACAGCCAAUUAGGAUGAGGGAAUGAUCCAGGCUUGCCCACCUGUUAGUUAUGGUAGAGGAGUGCUGCUGCUAGCGGGUCCAAAUACAAAUUAUGGCACAGGGACAAUCCAGGCAUCCAUUCGCCAGACACAAGAAAUGGGGGAUUUGAAUGCUUGGCAGUUUCUGGUAAUUAUUUCACCAGCUGAGGAGGCCAGAGAACUUACUCAAGCAUGCUGGGAGCCAUUUCCUUUUAAAAUAUUAAAAGACUUAAAGCAAGCAAUUGGACAAUAUGGGCCAAAUUCCCCUUAUGUUCAUUCCUUGUUACAGUGUGUG